RNAcentral lists this ribosomal RNA (218 nucleotides) under uncultured Thiobacillus sp. RNAcentral describes it as "partial 16S ribosomal RNA". It matches the Rfam family "Bacterial small subunit ribosomal RNA", at positions 1165 to 1382 of the family's 1533-position model. The record is from RNAcentral. Lineage: Bacteria; Pseudomonadati; Pseudomonadota; Betaproteobacteria; Nitrosomonadales; Thiobacillaceae.
GGAGGAAGGUGGGGAUGACGUCAAGUCCUCAUGGCCCUUAUGGGUAGGGCUUCACACGUCAUACAAUGGUCGGUACAGAGGGUUGCCAAGCCGCGAGGCGGAGCCAAUCCCACAAAGCCGAUCGUAGUCCGGAUUGUUCUCUGCAACUCGAGAGCAUGAAGUCGGAAUCGCUAGUAAUCGCGGAUCAGCAUGCCGCGGUGAAUACGUUCCCGGGUCUU